This 48-nucleotide non-coding RNA is filed under the name Schistosoma margrebowiei. Lineage: Eukaryota; Metazoa; Platyhelminthes; Trematoda; Strigeidida; Schistosomatidae. The record is from RNAcentral.
AUCCAGCUGAUGAGUCGCAAAUAGGGCGAAACGCUCGUCAAACUCGAU